GUAAACACCAAAGUGUCCUUGACACAGUCACUGACUACACCCGGAAAGUGAGAGGUGCUGUGUGCCUACAACCGGCUGCAGACAGGCAUUGUUCUUUACCUCUUGAGAUGACACAUUCAUCCACUGCAAGCCACUUCCCACAGAAGAGCCCCUGGCAUUUCCUAUGUGUAUGACAGACAUUAAGGGGUUAAAUGGAGACUUAAGAUCUAUCAGCCUGGUUCAGCCCAUUCUCCUGUGGUGGACACAUCGAUGAUCACUGGUCUUUCCAUGUGACCCUUUGCACUUUCCUAAGUAAAAGAGAGCACACCUUGCAAGA
Molecule: long non-coding RNA, 316 nt
Filed under: Cricetulus griseus (Chinese hamster)
Lineage: Eukaryota; Metazoa; Chordata; Mammalia; Rodentia; Cricetidae
Description: lncRNA (ENSCGRG00000024426.1)
Source: RNAcentral